This 576-nucleotide ribosomal RNA is filed under the name Pseudorasbora parva (stone moroko). Its description in RNAcentral is "partial large subunit ribosomal RNA". It matches the Rfam family "Bacterial large subunit ribosomal RNA", at positions 1925 to 2654 of the family's 2925-position model. Lineage: Eukaryota; Metazoa; Chordata; Actinopteri; Cypriniformes; Gobionidae. The record is from RNAcentral.
UAACGGCCGCGGUAUUUUGACCGUGCAAAGGUAGCGCAAUCACUUGUCUUUUAAAUGGAGACCUGUAUGAAUGGCCUAACGAGGGCUUAACUGUCUCCCCCUUCCAGUCAGUGAAAUUGAUCUAUCCGUGCAGAAGCGGGUAUAAAUAUACAAGACGAGAAGACCCUUUGGAGCUUAAGGUACAAAGUUUAACCAUGUUAAACAACUUAUUAAAGGGCAAAAACUUAAUGGAAAAUAAACAUUUACCUUCGGUUGGGGCGACCGCGGAGGAAAAAUCAGCCUCCGAGUGGAACGGGGUAAAUCCCUAAAACCAAGAGAGACAUCUCUAAGCCGCAGAAAAUCUGACCAAAAAUGAUCCGACACAUAGUCGAUCAACGAACCAAGUUACCCUAGGGAUAACAGCGCAAUCCUCUCCCAGAGUCCAUAUCGACGAGGGGGUUUACGACCUCGAUGUUGGAUCAGGACAUCCUAAUGGUGCAGCCGCUAUUAAGGGUUCGUUUGUUCAACGAUUAAAGUCCUACGUGAUCUGAGUUCAGACCGGAGUAAUCCAGGUCAGUUUCUAUCUGUAAUGCUACU